RNAcentral lists this non-coding RNA (26 nucleotides) under Homo sapiens (human). The record is from RNAcentral. Lineage: Eukaryota; Metazoa; Chordata; Mammalia; Primates; Hominidae.
UAUUCCAGCUGCAGUGAGUUUCCCCA